CGGCCGCGGUAUCUUGACCGUGCAAAGGUAGCGUAAUCACCUGUCUUUUAAAUGAAGACCUGUAUGAAUGGCAAAACGAAGGCUUAACUGUCUCCUUCCCCCAGUCAAUGAAAUUGAUCUCCCCGUGCAGAAGCGGGGAUACUAACAUAAGACGAGAAGACCCUGUGGAGCUUUAGACCCGCCGACAGUCCGUGUAAAGCCCCUUGAUUAAGAGAAGAAACAAACCAGCCCCUGUCGCAAUGUCUUUGGUUGGGGCGACCCCGGAGAAAUAAAAAACCCCCGAGCGGAAUGAAGACACCUUAUACCUCAUAGGCAAGAGCCGCAACUCGCAAAAUCAGAAUCUCUGACCCAAAGAUCCGAUAUAAUCGAUCAACGGACCCAGUUACCCCAGGGAUAACAGCGCAAUCCUCUUUCAGAGCCCCUAUCGACAAGAGGGUUUACGACCUCG
Molecule: ribosomal RNA, 448 nt
Filed under: Alfaro cultratus
Lineage: Eukaryota; Metazoa; Chordata; Actinopteri; Cyprinodontiformes; Poeciliidae
Description: partial 16S ribosomal RNA
Rfam family: Bacterial large subunit ribosomal RNA
Source: RNAcentral